UGCCAGCAGCCGCGGUAAUACGGAGGGUGCGAGCGUUAAUCGGAAUUACUGGGCGUAAAGCGCGCGUAGGCGGCGCGUUAAGUCAGAUGUGAAAGCCCCGGGCUUAACCUGGGAAUGGCAUUUGAAACUGGCGUGCUAGAGUGUGACAGAGGGUUGAGGAAUUCCCGGUGUAGCGGUGAAAUGCGUAGAGAUCGGGAGGAACACCAAUGGCGAAGGCAACAGCCUGGGUCAACACUGACGCUGAGGUGCGAAAGCUAGGGUAGCGAACGGGAUUAGAUA
RNAcentral lists this ribosomal RNA (279 nucleotides) under uncultured bacterium. Its description in RNAcentral is "partial 16S ribosomal RNA". It matches the Rfam family "Bacterial small subunit ribosomal RNA", at positions 506 to 784 of the family's 1533-position model. The record is from RNAcentral.